AGGGAAUUUUCCGCAAUGGGCGAAAGCCUGACGGAGCAACGCCGCGUGAGUGAGGACGGCCUUCGGGUUGUAAAACUCUGUUCUUGAGGAAGAAUUCCUUCCAGGCGAACAGCCUGGAAGGUUGACGGUACUCAAGGAGAAAGCCCCGGCUAACUACGCGCCAGCAGCCGCGGUAAUACGUAGGGGGCGAGCGUUAUCCGGAAUUAUUGGGCGUAAAGCGCGUGCAGGCGGCCGGUUAAGUCAGGUGUGAAAGGCUGCGGCUCAACCGGAGAGCGGCACCUGAAACUGGUCGGCUUGAGUGCAGGAGAGGGGAGCGGAAUUCCCGGUGUAGCGGUGGAAUGCGUAGAGAUCGGGAGGAACACCAGUGGCGAAGGCGGCUCUCUGGCCUGUAACUGACGCUGAGGCGCGAAAGCGUGGGGAGCAAAC
RNAcentral lists this ribosomal RNA (426 nucleotides) under uncultured bacterium. Its description in RNAcentral is "bacterial SSU rRNA". It matches the Rfam family "Bacterial small subunit ribosomal RNA", at positions 356 to 773 of the family's 1533-position model. The record is from RNAcentral.